This 85-nucleotide transfer RNA is filed under the name Candidatus Spyradenecus faecavium. RNAcentral's name for it is "tRNA-Tyr". It matches the Rfam family "tRNA". From Rfam's summary of the family: Transfer RNA (tRNA) molecules are approximately 80 nucleotides in length. Lineage: Bacteria; Pseudomonadati; Lentisphaerota; Lentisphaeria; Lentisphaerales; Lentisphaeraceae. The record is from RNAcentral.
GGUGGGUUACCAAAGUGGCCAACUGGGGCGGACUGUAAAUCCGCUGGCUUUGCCUUCCUACGUUCGAAUCGUAGACCCACCACCA